Molecule: ribosomal RNA, 254 nt
Filed under: uncultured bacterium
Lineage: Bacteria
Description: partial 16S ribosomal RNA
Rfam family: Bacterial small subunit ribosomal RNA
Source: RNAcentral
UACGGAGGGUGCGAGCGUUAUCCGGAUUCACUGGGUUUAAAGGGUGCGUAGGUGGGCAGGUAAGUCAGUGGUGAAGUCUCCGGGCUUAACCCGGAAACUGCCAUUGAUACUAUCAGUCUUGAAUACCGUGGAGGUAAGCGGAAUAUGUCAUGGUAGCGGUGAAAUGCUUAGAUAUGACAUAGAACACCAAUUGCGAAGGCAGCUUACUACCCGAAUAUUGACACUGAGGCACGAAAGCGUGGGGAUCAAACAGG